GACGAACGCUGGCGGCGUGCUUAACACAUGCAAGUCGAACGGAAAGGCCCUGCUUGCAGGGUGCUCGAGUGGCGAACGGGUGAGUAACACGUGGGUGAUCUGCCCCUGACUUUGGGACAAGCCUGGGAAACUGGGUCUAAUACCGGAUAUGACCAUGAGAUGCAUGUUCUGUGGUGGAAAGCUUUUGCGGUUGGGGAUGGGCCCGCGGCCUAUCAGCUUGUUGGUGGGGUAAUGGCCUACCAAGGCGACGACGGGUAGCCGACCUGAGAGGGUGAUCGGCCACACUGGGACUGAGACACGGCCCAGACUCCUACGGGAGGCAGCAGUGGGGAAUAUUGCACAAUGGGCGCAAGCCUGAUGCAGCGACGCCGCGUGAGGGAUGACGGCCUUCGGGUUGUAAACCUCUUUCAGCAGGGACGAAGCGCAAGUGACGGUACCUGCAGAAGAAGCACCGGCCAACUACGUGCCAGCCGCCGCGGUAA
RNAcentral lists this ribosomal RNA (482 nucleotides) under uncultured bacterium. RNAcentral describes it as "partial 16S ribosomal RNA". It matches the Rfam family "Bacterial small subunit ribosomal RNA", at positions 28 to 523 of the family's 1533-position model. The record is from RNAcentral.